GAUGAAGAACGCAGCGAAAUGCGAUAAGUAAUGUGAAUUGCAGAAUUCAGUGAAUCAUCGAAUCUUUGAACGCACAUUGCGCCCGCCAGUGUUCUGGCGGGCAUGCCUGUUCGAGCAUCAUUUCAACCAUCAAGCCCCCGGCUUGUGUUGGGGACCUGCGGCUGCCGCAGGCCCUGAAAAGCAGUGGCGGGCUCGCUGUCACACCGAGCGUAGUAGCAUACAUCUCGCUCUGGGCGUGCUGCGGGUUCCGGCCGUUAAACCACCUUCAUAACCCAAGGUUGACCUCGGAUCAGGUAGGAAGACCCGCUGAACUUAAGCAUAUCAAUAAGCGGAGGA
Molecule: unclassified non-coding RNA, 336 nt
Filed under: soil metagenome
Description: partial contains 5.8S ribosomal RNA, internal transcribed spacer 2, and large subunit ribosomal RNA
Rfam family: 5.8S ribosomal RNA (bases 1-120)
Source: RNAcentral